Molecule: ribosomal RNA, 446 nt
Filed under: uncultured bacterium
Lineage: Bacteria
Description: partial 16S ribosomal RNA
Rfam family: Bacterial small subunit ribosomal RNA
Source: RNAcentral
ACCAGACUCCUACGGGAGGCAGCAGUGGGGGAUAUUGCACAAUGGGGGAAACCCUGAUGCAGCAACGCCGCGUGAGUGAAGAAGUAUUUCGGUAUGUAAAGCUCUAUCAGCAGGGAAGAAGAAAGACGGUACCUGACUAAGAAGCCCCGGCUAACUACGUGCCAGCAGCCGCGGUAAUACGUAGGGGGCAAGCGUUAUCCGGAUUUACUGGGUGUAAAGGGGGCGCAGACGGCAGCGCAAGCCAGGAGUGAAAGCCCGGGGCCCAACCCCGGGACUGCUCUUGGAACUGCGCGGCUGGAGUGCAGGAGGGGCAGGCGGAAUUCCUGGUGUAGCGGUGAAAUGCGUAGAUAUCAGGAGGAACACCGGUGGCGAAGGCGGCCUGCUGGACUGCGACUGACGUUGAGGCCCGAAAGCGUGGGGAGCAAACAGGAUUAGAUACCCCUGUA